RNAcentral lists this transfer RNA (71 nucleotides) under Marmota marmota marmota (Alpine marmot). It matches the Rfam family "tRNA". Rfam says of the family: Transfer RNA (tRNA) molecules are approximately 80 nucleotides in length. Their secondary structure includes four short double-helical elements and three loops (D, anti-codon, and T loops). Further hydrogen bonds mediate the characteristic L-shaped molecular structure. tRNAs have two regions of fundamental functional importance: the anti-codon, which is responsible for specific mRNA codon recognition, and the 3' end, to which the tRNAs corresponding amino acid is attached (by aminoacyl-tRNA synthetases). tRNAs cope with the degeneracy of the genetic code in two manners: having more than one tRNA (with a specific anti-codon) for a particular amino acid; and 'wobble' base-pairing, i.e. permitting non-standard base-pairing at the 3rd anti-codon position. RNAcentral also lists the same sequence under 3 other names. The record is from Rfam by way of RNAcentral. Lineage: Eukaryota; Metazoa; Chordata; Mammalia; Rodentia; Sciuridae.
GUAGUUGUAGCUCAGUGGUAGAGAGCUUGCCUAGCAUGUGUGAGGCACUGAGUUCGAGCCUCAGCACCACA